ACCUAACUGUUAUUGAUAAUAUGAAUAAAUACCAAUGCGUGGAUAACUCUUUAUCCAAAUGCUUCUCUAAGCAUGUUGCAACGACUUGAUCUUUAAGUCAUAUGGGCUUACCUGAUAGUUAUUGCCUGCAUUCCUUAGUUAAGUCAGACCUACCAUUCACAAGCAGAUGCAAAGCCGUCAUUGGAUCCUUCACCUAACAGUUAUUGGAUCCAACCCCAUCUUUAUCCUG
This 229-nucleotide long non-coding RNA is filed under the name Elaeis guineensis (African oil palm). Its description in RNAcentral is "long non-coding RNA (EGUI_LNC045848)". The record is from RNAcentral. Lineage: Eukaryota; Viridiplantae; Streptophyta; Magnoliopsida; Arecales; Arecaceae.